GAUGAACGCUGGCGGCGUGCUUAACACAUGCAAGUCGAACGAGAAAUGUAGACGGAAACCUUCGGGCGGAAGCCUUCAUUUCGAGUGGCGGACGGGUGAGUAACGCGUGGGUAACCUGCCUCAUACAGGGGGAUAACAGUUGGAAACGACUGUUAAUACCGCAUAAGACCACAGCAUCGCAUGAUGCGGGGGUAAAAACUCCGGUGGUAUGAGAUGGACCCGCGUUCGAUUAGCCAGUUGGCGGGGUAACGGCCCACCAAAGCGACGAUCGAUAGCCGAUCUGAGAGGAUGACCGGCCACAUUGGGACUGAGACACGGCCCAAACUCCUACGGGAGGCAGCAGAGGGGAAUAUUGCACAAUGGGGGAAACCCUGAUGCAGCGACGCCGCGUGAGUGAAGAAGUACUUCGGUAUGUAAAGCUCUAUCAGCAGGGAAGAAAAUGACGGUACCUGAGUAAGAAGCCCCGGCUAACUACGU
This 477-nucleotide ribosomal RNA is filed under the name uncultured bacterium. Its description in RNAcentral is "partial 16S ribosomal RNA". It matches the Rfam family "Bacterial small subunit ribosomal RNA", at positions 28 to 506 of the family's 1533-position model. The record is from RNAcentral.